AUCGCUUCUCGGCCUUUUGGCUAAGAUCAAAGUGUAGUAUCUGUUCUUAUCAGCUUAAUCUCUGGUACGGCCUCCAUAGGGGGCCCAGAAGAUUAAACUGAUUUUUGGAAAAUGACGGAGUGCUAGGGGCUUGCUCCACCUCUGUCGCGGGUUGACCCGGUAUUGCAGUACCUCCGGGAACGGCCCACCUAAA
Non-coding RNA from Rhodnius prolixus, 193 nucleotides. Lineage: Eukaryota; Metazoa; Arthropoda; Insecta; Hemiptera; Reduviidae. The record is from Rfam.